This 266-nucleotide ribosomal RNA is filed under the name uncultured Atopobium sp. RNAcentral's name for it is "partial 16S ribosomal RNA". It matches the Rfam family "Bacterial small subunit ribosomal RNA", at positions 90 to 356 of the family's 1533-position model. The record is from RNAcentral. Lineage: Bacteria; Bacillati; Actinomycetota; Coriobacteriia; Coriobacteriales; Atopobiaceae.
AUAAAGUGGCGAACGGCUGAGUAACACGUGGGCAACCUGCCCUUUGCACUGGGAUAGCCUCGGGAAACCGAGGUUAAUACCGGAUACUCCAUAUUUGUCGCAUGGCGAAUACGGGAAAGCUCCGGCGGCAAAGGAUGGGCCCGCGGCCUGUUAGCUAGUUGGUGGGGUAGUGGCCUACCAAGGCAAUGAUGGGUAGCCGGGUUGAGAGACCGACCGGCCAGAUUGGGACUGAGACACGGCCCAGACUCCUACGGGAGGCAGCAGCG